CUUUCUAACUAUGUCCUGCAUGUCCCAUGCCUUAGCUAGUUUGCAAAUUCGUUUGCAUCCCAGCUGUUAGUAGGUUAAUCUAGCCAGUGCAGAUCUCCCGGCUUACUAAAAAUUGGUUGUUUUUUUUAUCUGCAAAUUAAACGAGCUAGUUUAAAGUUUCAUAUUAAAAUAAUAUUUUUAUAAUCAAAUUAGUGGUGAAAGUGCCAGACAAUGUUUUAACAAGUUCAUCAGUUCAUCUCUCAUGCUAAACCGCGGGAAUUCUACGAGGCUCUGCAUCUAAUUUUAUAGCAGCGGGUUCAGACUCGCACCGCGACUUCUUUACGUACAAAUCGAAGCUGCGCAUUUUUGGUCAGGUAAGUUAGAGAAGUUGCUAAUGUUGUGGUAAGAGUAGUUAGAUGGAUCAGUCUGUAACUAAUUAGAAAAAAGGCUUUGACUAUAGAAAUAUACAUUAUUUUUAUAUGAAACGCGAAUACGCGACGCCUUAAAUGAGUAUUUCAUUCGUUACAGGGCAAUUUACAGCGGUGCACGCACACCAUGUUUAUAUUUUGUCUGUUCUUAUUCUAGCUACUCAGUAAUGAAAAAAAAACUAAGCUAAGGAUAAAGACAGUCAGCACGGUGGGCAUCCAACCUUUGUUUUCGAAUUCUUUGGACCAAAUUUACAAAUAUAAGAAGAGAAACUGUCACUGUCACUAUCUUCAUAUCAAGGGAACUGAGUUCUCUCAUAUCAGAGGGAUCAAAAUGGCGAUCCUGGAGGUAUCAGAUGCCAGAGGUGAGACAGACCCUCUUGGAAACCUUGCUGUUGUGAUAGAGGAGACUCUUGCUCUAGAAGGGCUUGGUGACUUUCCCACAGCCUUUAUGGUACUAUUUGGACUUCUUUAUGCGCUCAACAUUGAAUACCCAAAAGAAUGGAGAUACACAUUUGAAACUGUACAGAAGGUAUUCCUGCCUCUUGGUGAGCAGUGCUCUGCUCGAACCUUGUCACUGAAAAAAAGCCUGCUUAAAGCCUAGGAAUGCAAGUUCAGCCUUGGUAUUGUACCUUUCUGUUUAUUCGGUAUAAGAUAUACACUGAUCAGCCAUAACAUUAAAACCACCUUGUUUCUACACUCACUGUCCAUUUUAUCAGCUCCACUUACCAUAUAGAAGCACUUUGUAGUUCUACAAUUACUGACUGUAGUCCAUCUGUUUCUCUGCAUACGUUUUAAUUUGCUUUCACCCUGUUCUUUCAAGGUUCAGGGUGUCGUAACUGUUGAGUACAGAUAUCUGCUGCUGAACAAAGGUCACUAUCUUGUUCAUGUGAUAGUAUUGUGUAAGUUUUAUAUAUAGACUUUUUAGCAAUGGAAAUGGAAGUUUAGCAUCAUUUGUUUAAGUAUAAGUACAUAGUAGUUCAUUGUAGUUCAUAGUAGUUCAUUGAAUGUACUUGAUUUAAAUGUAUUAUUAUUAUAUUUUACACAUAAUUUAAAUGUUAUUAGCACAGUUUUGCCUUUCAGAUUACUGACCUUUGGCAAGAUGUGUUGAGUAAUAUUCUGUUCAUGAGAAUUUUGUACACGUCAAAAAACAAGUACGUUUAGUGUAUAAUAUUUUUUAGUGUAACUGUGUAAAAACUGCAUAUUUCGCAAUAUGUUUUGUAAAAGUGCAGACUUACUGAU
Long non-coding RNA from Trichomycterus rosablanca, 1646 nucleotides. RefSeq lists it as uncharacterized. Lineage: Eukaryota; Metazoa; Chordata; Actinopteri; Siluriformes; Trichomycteridae. The record is from RefSeq and is a predicted model, not a curated record. The transcript has 3 exons.